ACCACAGAAAGGGGUUUUGCGACCUGGAGAGUGCUUAGGAUUAAGGGUGGUGAUUCAAUUUACUUUUUGAAUUUUCUGUGGGGCAGCCACAGGAAUGACUCGCUCUCGUAUGUAUGCAAUUCGGAAAAGCCAAAAUCGAUGCGCCCACACGAAACCACCCCCGUCAAUUUGCGAAUUUCGGUCAGAGUGCGUUGGCGUGUGUUUUGAAAAAGGAAAGACCCUCUGUGUCGUCGAGACGAAAGCAAAACUCACCCUUUUAUAUUGCAGUUUUCGCGUCCUCCACGGCUCAGGGUCGGCCGAACGCGCGCCGUGGCCACGCAGGAUCCAUCCUACCUGAAUCGAACCCUUCGCGAGUCCAAGGCCAGCCUCCCGAAACGCAGAUUUUGCCGAAAUAAAACGUCGCCAAGUGAAGAGACGACGAGUUUUGUCAAGUUUUGCUUGCAAACGACGCUGCUGCCCUCUGCCGGCCAAACUGCCCAAGCUAGAGCACAAUAACAUGAAUAACAUGCCCAUGCCAGUGCCCGAUCGAGAAUUCUGGAGCGCGAGUGCAUUCCAACCCUGGGGCGCCCUUCCGAAGGGUUGCUGAGACCCUAUUGGCCCAGGGUUGAGGGAUAAAGGGUCUUGACUGACAGCAGACUGGGAUGUGGUCACGUGACAACCUCAAGAAAAGUUAUUUUGGACUGCAAAGCUGCUGGUUCCUGAGCAAAGCAAUAGUUUGCGCAAACAUCCUCAUGAGCAGGUGCCAAAUCUCCAAGAUCUUCCGCAGUGCUCACGUUUCAAUAAUGUCUGUUGAUGUGAAGGAAGAGAUGAUGAGAGAGAUUUUGUCUGAAGAAAACAAAUUUUCCAGACGAAUAGGAAAAAAAUUUUACGUGCGAAAAAUAAAAUUGGAGAAAAAUGCUGAUGCUAAAAGUAAUUUACCCACCCAAUCAUGUAUCAAACAAGAGCCAACCGUACAGCUUGACAACGAUUGUAUAAACCAACCUGAUAAGCUCAUCGCCUUACAAAAAAAUCUUUUGAGAAAAAGAAAAUCAAAGCAAGAAUACGAAGACGUCAAACCCUUUUGUGGCAAGCCAAAAUUCCUGAAUGUCAGACCAAUUUCCCAAGAGAGCAGUAAAAAGUUCACCUGCAACAUUUGCAAAAAAGGGGUGGGAACGAAGGGUGGUUUGAAGUACCACAUCCAGGCGCACCUCUACGGCCGACCCUUUAAAUGCAAAAUUUGCAAAAGGUCGUACGCGACAAAGAACGAUUUUGACACGCACAACAAAAGACACUCGGGGAAAAAUGUGAUUUGCAAUUUUUGCCAAAAGCAAUUUCCUGUGAAAUCGUAUUUAGCCGAUCACAUUGCGAUGAGACAUUUGCCACCUGCAAGUGGUCUGCGCUGUCACCUUUGUACGCAGCCCCGCUUUUUUAUUCGAAAAACACAUUUGGAAAUGCACGUGGUAGCAGCUCACAACACAAUAGAAACGUUCUCUUGCAAACUUUGCAAUGCAAAAUAUAAAAAUUUGUUUAAUUACCAAAAACACUGCUCAAGGCGCAUUGAAAUGAAUUACAAGUGCAACAGAUGUGACGAGAAAUUUCCGUGUUGGAAUCUUCUUCUCGCGCAUAGAAAAGAGGAGGCGAAAAAUGGCCUGGAGUGCCCAAAGUGCAUGGAAAGGGUGAAAAAUCUAGCGGAACACAACAACGCCAGACACGCAAUAAAAAAUUGUGAUAUUUGCUCCUUUGCGGCAUCACCACAACGCUUGAAUAGCCACAAAAUGAAGUGUGGAACUGAGGAGCAAAUUCGAGCUCUGGGAUUCAAAUGCGAUUUGUGCAAUUUAUAUUUCAGAAACAGUCACAACGUGGCUCGGCACACAAAUAAAGAUCACGGGACACUUGAAUGCCCGGAAUGUCCAAGGAAAUUUUUAAAAAAAAGUUUUAUGCACACGCACAUUGCACAGGCUCACAGAAGUAAUAAAAACACGAGACCAUGAUAAGCGCAUAAUAAGCUUAUAAAUGGGUGCAUAAUAUGCACCAAAAUAUAUAUCUUGCUUUUUUAACCAAUGGUUUUAAUGCACUUUUCUUCAUUAAUUUCAUUAUUUUAACAAUUUUUUCUGACAAUGUAAUAAUAUAGUUUUCUUCUGGUUUUCUUCAAUUAAUUUGUGGAAGAUAUUUUAUUUUUCAAAUUAUAUUCUAUUAAGGUCUAGGCCAUGAAAGACAGGGUCUUGUCUUUUUUCGCCUUUUAUAUAGCUGUUGUAAAUACCCAAUUUUGUUUUUCAUUAAUAAUCUUAAUUAAAAUUAAAUAUAAUAAUUUAAAUUAUCCAUUUUGAAUGCUACACUUAAAGCGCCAAGUGGUUUCUGCUAAUGAUUGUUCGCCACAAUAAAUAUUUGAUUUGAAAAUAUCGAUCAGUCUUUUUAUUUAUCGCGAAUUGAGCUGGCUUAUAUUUUUAAAUGCUAAAUUUGUUUCGACCCAAAAAAUGAAAUCAAACAAAAAUAAUUUAAAUGCUUAGUCAAAUUCUAGCAACAGUGUUGACAUACUUGUGAGACUUAAAAGAGCAUUCACAUAUGCGUGGCUACUUUUUAUGCCAUAUGUUGCAGGCAAAAAAUAUGCAUGGUGUCAUUUAUCGCCUGCGAAGAGUCCUCCCACAUAUAUUUAUAGACGACUUCCUUUUGCUGAAGUGAAUCAUUGUUUCACUAUCAUUCGACUGUGGAGGUUGUGUUGCAAGCUCGAGCUGAAAAAUUUAAUAAUUUUAUUGCGUUCUGUAAAAAUGGAGAUUGCUGGUUAUGAAAAUGAGUCAAGGAAUGAAAUUUUGAUUGACUGCCAAAAGAUCAAAAGAGAACGAGUUGAAAGUGAUGGUGCCGAAGAUGAUUCAUCCACGAACGCAAUUCAGAGCGUCAAAGUGGAGAAAAUUAAAAAAGUCUUCAGAAUAAGAGUCCAAAUGAAGGAAGAGUUAGACGGAAAAUAUGUUUUAAAGCCAUUCACUGAUCCCAUCACAACUCUAAAAAUCCAGCCUGCUCCUUUGGAUCACGCUAAAAAGUUCACCUGCGACAUUUGCAAAAAAGGGGUGGGGACGAAGGGUGGUUUGAAGUACCACAUCCAAGUGCACCUCUUCGGCCGACCCUUUAAAUGCGACAUUUGCAAAAGGUCUUACGCGACCAAAAACGAUUUUGACACGCACAACAAAAGACACUCGGGGAAAAAUGUAAUUUGCAAUUAUUGCCAAAAGAAUUUCCUGUAAAAUCGUAUCUAGCUGAUCACAUUGUUUUGAGACAUUUGCCAUCAGCUUGUGCCCAGCGCUGUAUGAUAUGUACUAAACCUCGCUAUUUUUGUAGAAAAAUUCUUUUGGAAUCGCACAUGAAAGAAGUUCACAACACGCAUGGCAGUUUAUUAUGCAAACUGUGUAACAAAGAGUACAAAAGUUUCCAUUCUUUCAAGAAGCACUGUAAGGAGCGUGUUGGAAUGAAAUACGAGUGCAAAAGGUGUGACAAGAAAUUUCCUUGCCGGGACCUUCUUUUGUCCCAUAUGAGAAAGGAGACGAGAAAUCCAUUAGGAAUCGAGUGUCCGAUUUGCAUGAAAAAAGCUAAAGAUUUAGUGGAACACACUACCUCACAUCAUACCAAAAGAAAAUGUGACAUUUGCUCUUUUGAAGGAUCAAUGUACGACCUUAGAAAUCACAAAAGGUUUUGCGGAACUGAUGAACAAAUUCGCGCUCUGGACUUGGAAUGCAAAUUUUGUAAUUCAUUUUUCAGAACCACUUACCAUUUAGUCCUUCACAUGAAUGACAAUCACGGGCCAUUCAAAUGCCCUAAUUGCUCUAGGAAAUUUGUGACAAAUGAUAAGUUAAAGUGCCACUUUAACAAUACUCAUAGAAGAAACUGUCCUAGAAUCUACACUUGUUUAUUUUGCGUCCGAUAUAACAGCUUUUCGAAAAGAGACACAUUUAAUCGGCACUUUUACAAUCAUCACGAAUUUCCUGUCUCGGUGUCUUCGAAAAAAUAUGUGGGAGAGAAAUUGCGAUUUGGUUGUGAGAAGUGCAAAAAAGCUCUUUUCCACGUAAUGAGCAAAAGCCGUCUCAUUAAACACAUUAAAAAGUGUUAUGACAUUGUUAAUUAGGCCCCCCUUGGAUGCUUUAAUUGUUAUAUGAUGGAUAAAUGAUUUUGUUGUUGCAAAACGUAUUGUUAAUAGCAAACUUUAAAGUCUAGUUUGAAUGAGAAAUUGAGAACCUAAAACGUGUGUAUACUCCUUAUAAAAUUAUUGUUUAGUUUUUUGUUAUGAUAAACUUGUGAAAAUUCAAUGUUUAAUUAAUUAAUCUUAAAACUGCUUUUUAUUUGGUGUGUUAGUGUGUCAAUAAAAACAACACAUUUCUAUAUAUUUUCAGUUUUUUUCCUCUUAAGUGACAAAUAUCAAGCCUUUCUUUGAAAAUGUUUCA
RNA transcript from Neocloeon triangulifer, 4406 nucleotides. It is a transcript of the gene named zinc finger protein Xfin-like, with no coding region annotated. NCBI's taxonomy places the organism in Eukaryota, Metazoa, Arthropoda, Insecta, Ephemeroptera, Baetidae. The transcript is spliced from 8 exons. The record is from RefSeq and is a predicted model, not a curated record.